AAAUUUAACAUUUUGCUCAACUUGUCAUAAGAUUAAUGAAAAAAGACUCUGGUUGUGCCAUUUUGAUAGAAAAAAAAACAGAUUUGAUGUAUUCACUACUUUUAUUGACAGUGUACCACAUUUGCAAAGCAACAGGAAGUACAUUUGUAACCAAAUCGAUCGAGGAGUCGGCUGUAGGUCCCCCCUCGCCCGACUGGGAGUCACUCAACUUCUGGCUGGUCACUAAUGUGCUACAUCGAGGAUCCCAAUGCAAGCAACUCAGUGACUAUUACUGCCUCGAUGCUUAUAUAACGCAACAGCCUCAGGGUCAGCCGAAAAACCAAGUAAUUGAUCUGGGCGAAAGAGAAUAUGCGAUCAUGUUUCCUUUUGAAAAAAUCCUCGCAAUGCAAUGGCGACACAUCAACAUGCUCGACAUAUAUA
Molecule: long non-coding RNA, 420 nt
Organism: Symsagittifera roscoffensis
Lineage: Eukaryota; Metazoa; Xenacoelomorpha; Acoela; Convolutidae
Exons: 3
Source: RefSeq, a predicted model, not a curated record